CCCUUAGAUGUUCUGGGCAGCACGCGCGCUACACUGAUGCAUUCAACGAGUCUAAAACCUGGUCUGAUAGGGCUGGGUAAUCUUUUGAAAGUGCAUCGUGAUUGGGAUAGAUGAUUGCAAUUCUUCAUCUUCAACGAGGAAUGCCUAGUAAACGCAAGUCAUCAGCUUGCAUUGAUUACGUCCCUGCCCUUUGUACACACCGCCCGUCGCUCCUACCGAUUGAAUGAUCCGAUGAAUACCAUGGAUUGAGAGUACGAAUAGGUUCGCUUAUUUCUGCUGCUCGAGAAGUGGAGUAAAUCUUAUCAUUUAUAGGAAGGAGAAGUCGUAACA
This 330-nucleotide ribosomal RNA is filed under the name uncultured eukaryote. RNAcentral describes it as "partial 18S ribosomal RNA". It matches the Rfam family "Eukaryotic small subunit ribosomal RNA", at positions 1470 to 1796 of the family's 1831-position model. The record is from RNAcentral.